Molecule: long non-coding RNA, 2373 nt
Organism: Ictalurus punctatus (channel catfish)
Lineage: Eukaryota; Metazoa; Chordata; Actinopteri; Siluriformes; Ictaluridae
Source: Ensembl
CUCUACCCAGCAUACAGCGUGUGCAGUCCGAUCCCGUCGAUCUGGGUGCGUUUUAUUUCAAUCACCGCGUUAAGAAAAAAAAAAAAAGCAGAGACUUUCACCGGAAUGCACGCGUUUUCUCUCUGAUUUAUCAUUCCUGCAGGGUUUUCUUGUCUUCUUGCAUAUGGGAAGAAUGUGAUAAUGGAGCGGGAGAAAAAUAAAAGGGAGUGGAAACGGACUGAGCUCGAGAGAUAAGAAAAAAAAGCAAGAGAGGCCGUCCAUUUUGUCAGAGCAGCAAAAAAAAAAAAAAAAAAAAAAAAAAAAAAAAAAGAGAGAGAAGAUGGAAUUCAAGCACAAUCUGGAGGAAGGAAAAAGAUGGAGAAACGCGCGCGCCGUGCCUUAAAAAUGGGAUGAAUAUUUGGGAUGUGGUGUGUUGAUGAUUCGGAGAGAGAAAAAAUGGAAAGAUGAACCAGGCAUGAUGAAGCUGCUGCAUCUUCUUCAUCCUCAUCAUUCGGUCCUGUCUGUCCUGACCUGGAUUUAUCUCGGAUUAAAUCCGCACACACUCGGGUUUAACCCGGGAUUGUAAUCUCGGUUGUUGGAUUGAAGAUUGUGCACUGUUGCAGACUUUAUGAAGUGGCCUAGUAUGCAUCAUCUAGUGUGCAUCAUCUAGUGUGCACGGACCUGCAUCCUGAGCAUCUCACCUGUACCCUCUCAGAUGAAAAGGUCAAAGGUAGACACCAAUUACAGCUACAUCGUCAUUAAAGGAACGUCAUUAAUCUACAUAUUUUUGGAUUUGAAGAUCCACAGUUUGUAUCUUGACACUGAAUGUCUGACUCUCAGCUAGGACAGAUAUCAGAAUACACGUUCUUCUUUUUUUAGAAAUUCAUUUUUCAUUCCAGUCUGACGUGGUUGGAGUUAAAGGGAUGUAUUUGUAUUGACUUUUUGACUUUUCCACUUUUGGAAGUGUAAAGGGAUGUGAGGUCUAUAAUCAAGAUCACACCUGAGCGCUGAUCUGCAUUUCGUCUGAAACCGGACGCAGCGUUACCGAGAAAACUGUACAAGUCCUUUAAAGGGAGAAUCCAACGUUUCUGGAAUUAAAAGAGACACCUUAAAGGUUUCUGUUGGGGUUUUUAAUUAUUAUAAUUUUUUUUAGAGCAGGUCCGUAAUUGAGAUCACUGCUGAGGAGAAUGGGCUGCUGUGGGAGCGUGUGCAUCCUUUAAAGGGUAACUCAGAGCUGGCUGGAAUUAAAUGGAGACGUUCAGGGUUUCUUUAAUAAGCAGUGCAGCACCAGUGGAGACUUCCUGACGUUUACAAAAAGCACACAACUGAUCACCUGAGGAAUGAGGGUUCUUCCUCAGCAAGAGCUCUCUGGCGUGGAUGACCUCUGAUGACCCCUAGUUACACUCCGGAGUGCGUUCCAGAGAGCGUGCGUGCUUUCCCGAGUGCUGCUGGAGGACGGGUUGGAUUGAAACCCUACGAGACCGUGAGAACUGACCAAGAGGAGGAGGAGGAGGAAGAAGGAGAUAUGAGCUGUGGAUGGUGGUGAUGAUGAUGAUGCUGGAUACACAGGAGUUAGCUGUGCAGCGUGUACAGAAAAGAAUUACAGGCCCGUGUUUCUUAUUAUGGCUUCCAGAACGAGUAGAUUCAGUAGUAAUGAAAGAAAAGUCUCUAGUUUGGAAUAAUGGUCCGACCUGAAAGGUGCAGUGAGGAUUUUUUUUUUUUUAAUUGUUCUUACCACUACAAAUAAAUAAAUAUCGGUGAUGACAAAGAAACAUCUGUUAAAAACGUAGAAUCCAAAGCAAGUGAAAGAAGAAAAAAAGGUCAAAGAAAAAGAAAAAAAAACAGGUCCGUGCUGUCAGUCAUGUUAUAGACACACCUCCAGGGGGCGCUUGACUCCAGCCACUUCUUUACUGCUCAGGAAAGCAAAGCAUGGUGGGUUGUGAAAACAGCACAGAGUAAAGUGUAAAAUGAGAUUUAUUAUCGUUAUUGACUUUAACGCCACUGACGAGUGUGUGAUGAGUCGUUAUGAACUGGAUGAUGCACCACACCUUUGAUCUCCAACACACACACACACACACACACUGUCUCUCUGAGGACGUUUGUCUUCAGCUCUGUCUCCUCUGUGAAGUUUUUAUCGACGCGCUGCUGUUGUCUUGGAUGUUCCACUUAUCACAAAUAUACAGUUUCUCACUAGAGAAACCGCUAGAACACACUCGGUCUCUUCUGUUUAAUUCAGAAUGGUCUUUAAACACUGACUCACACACAUACACAUACACAUACACAAAAACACAUGCAUAUGUAACUGGACAAAGUGUUUAUUAUUAGUGUAUAGAAUGUAAAAUCAACACAUCGAGCUGGAGACACACAGGACUGGAUUUUUUAUCAGUUGCAGCA